RNAcentral lists this microRNA precursor (196 nucleotides) under Oryza glumipatula. Its description in RNAcentral is "MIR812 microRNA precursor family". It matches the Rfam family "MIR812 microRNA precursor family". Lineage: Eukaryota; Viridiplantae; Streptophyta; Magnoliopsida; Poales; Poaceae. The record is from Rfam by way of RNAcentral.
UAUAAGGGAUUUUAAGUUUUUGUGUGUACUGUUUGACCACUCGUCUUAUUAAAAAAUUUUGAAAUUAUUAUUUCUUUUGACUUAAUUUAUUUUCCAAAGUACUUUAAGCACAACUUUUCGUUUUUUAUAUUUACAUAAAUUUUUUAAAUAAGAUGAGUGGUCAAACAGUACAAGCAAAAACUCAAAAUCCCUUAUA